This 238-nucleotide unclassified non-coding RNA is filed under the name Hevea brasiliensis (rubber tree). Lineage: Eukaryota; Viridiplantae; Streptophyta; Magnoliopsida; Malpighiales; Euphorbiaceae. The record is from RNAcentral.
CUCGAUCCGUGAAACAGGAUUAAUCAGGCCGCCUGGCCGGAUUCCUUCGCCUUUACAGACGGCUCCGGCUGCGAUGCGCGAGGAUGCGAAACGAGCACACCUGCCUCUGCCAGACGCCGACUCGGGGAUGCCGAGUUCGCUGAACACCGCAUAGUUGUGCUCACCCUGGAAAGCCGGUGUUCCGAUCGGCGUCAGCUCAUCGCCGGAGAAAUGCCACGGCCGGCCCGGCAGACGAUAU